This 2117-nucleotide long non-coding RNA is filed under the name Homo sapiens (human). RNAcentral's name for it is "HSALNT0168631". The record is from RNAcentral. Lineage: Eukaryota; Metazoa; Chordata; Mammalia; Primates; Hominidae.
ACCAUGCCCGGCUAAUUUUUUGUACUUCUUUUUUAGGAGAGAUGGGAUUUCACCAUGUUAGCCAGGAUGGUCUCGAUCUGCUGACCUAGUGAUCUGCCCGCCUCGGCCGCCCAAAGUGCUGGGAUUACAGGCGUGAGCCACAGCUCCCGGCCAUAUCAUGUAAUUCUUAAAGAAGUGAACCUGUGGAGUUUUAAAGAAUUGGCCAAGGACAUCAAGCAAGUUACAAGGUGAUCACACGUACCUCUAAGUCCUGCCUGGGUUCACUCCACAAAGGUCAUUCACAAAUUACAGCAAACAUUGCAUAGUGUGCUUUAAACAAAGCCACCUUACAGAAGCUCUUUUGCACCCAUUAUCAACGAUCUGCACAACAGCUCCGUGAGGUGUUGUGGACGCUUUUAUUAUGACUUGUCAGUACCUCUUACCCUCUUUUUCAGCUUUGCUCUCCCCUCUCAAGGAACAGCACCUUCCUCAUUUCAGUGAAUUGGUUCUAGGGCUACGGUGGUAUCUUGCUCCUCUGGCUGCAGUGAUUGGCCCAACAAUGUACUUGUGGCCCACACAGGGCCAAUCAGAGUCGUUCUUUGGGUUCUUAUACCUUGAGCUAGAGGCGUAUACUCUUCUUCCUGGGCAGCCACUGCACACGUGAGCCUGAGGGUAGCUGUGUUCCAGCUUUGCACAGAAAGCAGGUUUGGGAGAAUGAAGCCAGAGGCCAAGGAGAGAAUGCGGAAUCCUGGAGUGUUGAAGGCCCUUGUUUUGAUUCCUCGCGUCCUCCAGUCCAUCCUCAUUUUCUGGAGAGGCAGCGUGACCUAACGACGAAAGCCUCCACAACUGGUUUCUGUCGGUGUGAGUCCCAAAUCUGCCACUGGCUGGCUGGGAAACCUUGGGUAAGCUACUUAACCACUCUGUGCCUCAGUUUCCUUGUCUGUAACAUGAGAACAAGAAUGCCUUCUACCUACUUCAUAGCAUUGUUUCUAAAACACUUAGUGCAGUUGCUGGUUUGUAGUGCAGUAUUGGUAAGGUUAGCUAUUACUCUUUUAUUUGAGUUGUUUACAAGCAGAUGGUAUGGAACACAGCUCCAUGAAGUAUGGUCCCAAUCACUAGGGCCUGAUCCCUGCCUUGCAGGGAAGGGCAGCUACACAGUCUGGGAUUCUCUGCAUUUGAGAAAGCUGGGUAGCUGACAUUAGGAAAGCUGAUUGUUUGCUUGUUCUGUUUGAUAUUUUGCCAGUGGCUUCUGGCACAGCCGUGAAGACAGGGUUCCCAGUUUCUCAUCCAUCACCACCUUUGAUCUACCCAGCUCCCUCCAUGCCAUCUUUAUUAUUGUUCCCAUCACACAGAUGAGUAAAUGGGCUCAGAGAUGUGAGGUGACCUGCCAAUAAUAGGUGGCAUCCCUGAGACUGGAACCAAGUCUGCUCAUUCUUAAUCCUGGGGCCUUUAGCCAUAGAGUGGGCCUCUCCAACUACUACUGAUUGUUUUCUUGCUUGAGGGCAGGGACAGGACCCUGGGGCUCAGAAAGGAAGAGAGGCACUUUUCAGGGCCACUCGCCCUGUCACAAGUAUGAUCUGCUGUUGGCCUUGCGUCCCCAGCGAUCAGAUGGAAGAGAGCCAGUUUAGAACUAGAGGGGGUUUUAUAUGUGCUUUUUUUGCUUCUGUUUUUCCUUGAACACUUUAAUUGAGUGGUUAAAAUCUACCUUCCGGCCAGGCGUGGUGGCUCACGCCUGUAAUCCCAGCACUUUGGGAGGCUGAGGUGGGCGGAUCAUGAGGUCAGGAGUUGAGAGCAUCCUGGCCAACAUGGUGAAACCCUGUCUCUACUAAAAUACAAAAAAUUAGCCAGCCAUGGUGGUGCACACCUGUAGUCCCAGCUACCUGGGAGGCUGAGGCAGGGGAAUUGCUUGAACCUGGGAGGUGGAGGUUGCAGCGAGCCGAGAUCGCACCACUGCACUCCAGCCUGGGUGACAGAGCAAGGCUCUGUCUCAAAAAAAAAAAAAAAAAAAAAAAGCGUACCUUCCAAAUUCCUAACAAGCUGCAUGGCAAGUAGGAUGAGUGUCAGGGGAAUCUGUGGGUAGGUGAUGACUGUGGAGGCGGAUGGUGGUCAGCCCAUGUGGCUUUCAUUCAUCCAGACAU